RNAcentral lists this long non-coding RNA (504 nucleotides) under Lathyrus oleraceus (garden pea). Its description in RNAcentral is "Pisum sativum (pea) long non-coding RNA (PSAT_LNC008341)". The record is from RNAcentral. Lineage: Eukaryota; Viridiplantae; Streptophyta; Magnoliopsida; Fabales; Fabaceae.
UGCAAAAAAAAAUUCGGUGGGGCUAAAGGUAUGGGGAGGUAGGAUUCUACUAAAGAUCUACUAUAUUUGGUGACUCGUCAGACUCAUGCAUUAUACUAAAAGGCAAAAUAAACAACUAAAAGGAAAUAAAAAUAAAUAAACUAUCUAAAAACAGCAAAGAAAAAGCGAUAAAGGAAAAAAAAACGAGAAAGGUAAUAAAGAAAAGACGAUAGAGUCUCCUCCCACACUUAAAUCGAACAUUGUCCCCAAUGUUUCGAAAUAAGAUAAGGGAAGAGUUACCUGACAAUCUAUUGCUGACCACUGGUGCCCUCGCCAUCCUGAGGUGGACGACGGGAUCGGGUACGACGACGGUCUCUCUGAUCCAUCCUCGCCUGCAGGGCAUCCUGAGCGGUCCUCACCUCUCGAAGGUUACCCAACCACUGGUGCCCUCGCCAUCCUGAGGUGGACGACGGGAUCGGGUACGACGACGGUCUCUCUGAUCCAUCCUCGCCUGCAGGGCAUCCU